RNAcentral lists this ribosomal RNA (404 nucleotides) under uncultured bacterium. RNAcentral describes it as "bacterial SSU rRNA". It matches the Rfam family "Bacterial small subunit ribosomal RNA", at positions 355 to 775 of the family's 1533-position model. The record is from RNAcentral.
UGAGGAAUAUUGCACAAUGGGCGCAAGCCUGAUGCAGCAACGCCGCGUGAGGGACGAAGGCCUUCGGGUCGUAAACCUCUUUUCUGAGGGACGAGUAAGGACGGUACCUCAGGAAUAAGUCUCGGCUAACUACGUGCCAGCGGCCGCGGUAAAACGUAGGAGGCGAGCGUUAUCCGGAUUUACUGGGCGUAAAGCGUACGCAGGUGGCCUCGUGAGUCGGACAUGAGAGCUCCUGGCUUAACUGGGAGAGGUUGUUCGAUACUGCGGGGCUUGGGGUUGGGAGAGGGACGUGGAAUUCCCGGUGUAGUGGUGGAAUGCGUAGAUAUCGGGAGGAACACCAGUGGCGCAAGCGGCGUCCUGGCCCACACCUGACGCUGAGGGACGAAAGCGUGGGUAGCAAACAG